ACUUUAAUAUAUCUAGUUUUAAAUUAAUCUGCAUUUGUUCAAAAAACAAGAAAAUGUGUAUUUUAUUCCUUUACUAAAUUAAUCUAAGUAAUCCCAGCCAAGCUUUUUAGGUACACACGCACAACAAACAAUACCUUGUUUUAUUUACUCACAUGGUAAAAAAAAAAAAAAAAAACUCCCCUUCCUGUUUCGUUGGUCUGGAAACCCCUUGCAUUCCUAACGAAGACGAACACGCGGACUGAAUUUAAGGUGAUUCUCCUGACAAUAGGCUACACUGGAUAAAGGUUUGUGAUGACGAUGAUGCUGCAGCCAUCCAAGAGGCCAUCACUUCAUUUGUGCUCAACAUCUUUGUGGUCAGCAAAGCCAGGGAUGGAGGUCUCGAGAAGAAAGUUGGAAUAGCCAUUGAGGGAGCGGAGGUCCUUUUUUGCAUUCCCAGUGUAGCACAUGCUUGCUCCUACCUUAUGGGCCUUAUUUAUGCUUUGGAACUAAGCUACCCAGAGAAACUUAAAUACACCUUUGAGGUAUUUCAGAAGAUCUUCCUGGAGCUGGAGGAUGUUAACAAAAACAUGUCCUCCAAAAUCCACGAUCACAAGAUCAGCUUACUGGCCUAAAAGCGAUACAGACAUUGUUGAAUGUAGAGGGUUUGAGUCCCUCUGGUAAAGUUUUACUGUUCAAUUUCUCAGGUCUUUUUCAGUGCACUUUCUCAAGUCACACUAAUCCUAUUUCAUAUAGGGACCAUGUUUGUGAGUGUUAAUGUUAAAGGUGCAGUUGAAGGAAAGAUGACAGUUAAGAAGUCAGAAACUAUAUUGCACAAUGUGAGUUUUUUUCAAUAGAAACCCAAAGAAACUGAAAUGUAGGUUUCUUAGAAGAUCUCCAUUGUCACACGGGGAUCAUACAUAUGAUCAUACAUGUGCAAGCGUGUUGUUUUAAAGUCUUAAGAGUAUGUUACUGUACAGGACUGAAAAACGCAAUUUUAUAGAAAAUAUUCUGUAAAUGUGUCUGAAUGGUUUCUUAUGAAGACAAUAAAGCCUGUCAACUUUCACUUAA
Molecule: long non-coding RNA, 1047 nt
Organism: Carassius auratus (goldfish)
Lineage: Eukaryota; Metazoa; Chordata; Actinopteri; Cypriniformes; Cyprinidae
Exons: 3
Source: RefSeq, a predicted model, not a curated record